This 409-nucleotide ribosomal RNA is filed under the name uncultured Nitrososphaerota archaeon. Its description in RNAcentral is "bacterial SSU rRNA". It matches the Rfam family "Archaeal small subunit ribosomal RNA", at positions 452 to 861 of the family's 1478-position model. Lineage: Archaea; Thermoproteati; Nitrososphaerota. The record is from RNAcentral.
CUGGUGUCAGCCGCCGCGGUAAUCCCAGCACCCCGAGUGGUCGGGACGAUUAUUGGGCCUAAAGCAUCCGUAGCCGGCCUUACAAGUCCUCCGUUAAAUCCAGCUGCUUAACAGAUGGGCUGCGGAGGAUACUAUAAGACUAGGAGGCAGGAGAGGCAAGCGGUACUCAGUGGGUAGGGGUAAAAUCCGUUGAUCCAUUGAAGACCACCAGUGGCGAAGGCGGCUUGCCAGAAUGCGCUCGACGGUGAGGGAUGAAAGCUGGGGGAGCAAACCGGAUUAGAUACCCGGGUAGUCCCAGCUGUAAACGAUGCAGACUCGGUGAUGGACCAGCUUUAUGCUGGUCCAGUGCCGCAGGGAAGCCGUUAAGUCUGCCGCCUGGGUAGUACGGUCGCAAGACUGAAACUUAAAG